This 433-nucleotide ribosomal RNA is filed under the name uncultured bacterium. RNAcentral's name for it is "partial 16S ribosomal RNA". It matches the Rfam family "Bacterial small subunit ribosomal RNA", at positions 29 to 507 of the family's 1533-position model. The record is from RNAcentral.
AACGAACGCUGGCGGCAUGCCUAACACAUGCAAGUCGAACGAGACCUUCGGGUCUAGUGGCGCACGGGUGCGUAACGCGUGGGAACCUGCCCUUAGGUUCGGAAUAACUCCCCGAAAGGGGUGCUAAUACCGGAUAAUGUCCUCGGACCAAAGAUUUAUCGCCUUUGGAUGGGCCCGCGUUGGAUUAGCUAGUUGUUAGGGUAAAAGCCUACCAAGGCGACGAUCCAUAGCUGGUCUGAGAGGAUGAUCAGCCACACUGGGACUGAGACACGGCCCAGACUCCUACGGGAGGCAGCAGUGGGGAAUAUAGGACAAUGGGCGAAAGCCUGAUCCAGCACUGACGGGUGAGUGAUGAAGGCCUUAGGGUUGUAAAGCUCUUUUACCCGGGAUGAUAAUGACAGUACCGGGAGAAUAAGCACCGGCUAACUCCGUG